RNAcentral lists this ribosomal RNA (241 nucleotides) under uncultured bacterium. RNAcentral's name for it is "partial 16S ribosomal RNA". It matches the Rfam family "Bacterial small subunit ribosomal RNA", at positions 524 to 760 of the family's 1533-position model. The record is from RNAcentral.
UACGUAGGGGGCAAGCGUUGUCCGGAUUUAUUGGGCGUAAAGAGCGUGUAGGCGGUUCGGUAGGUCCAUCGUGAAAACUCGAGGCUCAACCUCGAGACGCCGGUGGAAACCAUCGGGCUAGAGUCCGGAAGAGGAGAGUGGAAUUCCCGGUGUAGACGGUGAAAUGCGGCAGAUAUCGGGAAGAACACCCGUGGCUAAGGCGGCUCUCUAGUACGGUACUGACGCAUGAGACGGCGAAAAG